UUAUCCCUUCACUAUAAAUUGGCUCAUUCCAUUAACCCUUUCAACCACAAUUAUCAAAUCUAUAUCCCCUCACAAUAAAUUUGGCUUAAUCCAUAAUCCUUUUCAAUCUAAUCAUCAAAUCUAUAUCUAUAUACACUUCACUGCUCUUUGAAUAGUUCUUGAAUCAUUUUAUCAAUGACUAUGAGUCCAAAACUAGCCUUUGCCAUUGGGAAUAUUGCUAACCAUUUCAUUCAACCAAAUUGUUUUCGGCGACAUCGGGACCGCUAGCUCCUACAACCCUCCUUACACACCUACAAGGUGCAAUGGCAAUAGAGCCGACCAAUUCCCAUUAGGACAACGGCGCCGCCUGCGGCCUCCGGUGCCUUAGCGGCAACAAGCGGCCUUGCAAGGGGGACGUGCGGGUGGUUGAUUUUUGCACCCGCAGGCCAUGCCCUUCGACUAUAGUGAUGUCGACUGACGCCUUCGCCGCCUGUCUCCAAAUCCCCGGAUGCUAAAAUCAACAUCAAAUUUAUCCAGAUUUGGCAUCAAAUAUGGGCAUUGCAUUGCGUGUUUGCUGUGGAGAAAGUAAUUUAAUUUGGAGGUGUAGCUUAUUUGAAGUAAUACUCCUACUAGUAUAUGAAUUUGAAAAGAUGUGUUUCGUAUCUUUAUUAGUAGUAAUUUAUUGUGUGUUGGAGGUGUAUGACUCUUACUAUGAUUAAUUAUGUGUUUCCUAAUAUCUACACCUCUAUUUUUGUAUCUUGGACGAUGGGCUUAAGGCCCAAUUAACUCCUCAAAAUUCAUCUUCUCAUAUUAACCAAAUUUUAAUUAAUUUCGACCAAAUCCUCCAAACUAAAUCACCAGCCCACCAUCUGUUCGACCAAAUUCCCCAACCAACUCCAUUUUCAAAAUUCCUAUCACAAAUGGCGCGUUGCCAGCAACGAGAUUCAGUUCAUCAGUCUCCCGCCACCAAAUCCGAGCUCUUUCCCAGCAGCAGUCGAAGCAAAAGCAUACCGCCUAAUCCCCCAAAUCCUCAACGGAGCCUUGCCGCAACCCUAACCCCUUCACAUUCCUCUCCAAAUUCCCCGAGCGCCGCCGAAACGAAACCAUCGACCAAAUCCUCCAAUCCUUCAUCCCAAUCCGGUCGCGGCGGCGAUGUGUGGAAGGGGGUUUAUACCGUUUAUACGGGCGAGGCAGAGGGUGGUGGAGGGGUUGGUGAGGUGGAGCAUGCUGCUGUUGUGAGGAGGAGGUUUGCAGGGAUGAGUUCUUAGGAAUUCUAUACGACGAAGAAAUCGUGUGGCGAAGGGGGUUCUUGUUUGUAGGAAUGGUAGUUCGGACUUGGAACGAGCAUGGAUUGAUGGGUCGCGAACUGGGAUUCGAUUGAUGACGAAGAAAGAGAAUUCUUGGUUCUGUUCUCGGACUCAUGGUGGAAAAAGGGAUGGAUCAAAUUAUAUUGCACAACGUAUAGUAUUUGUUUUGGAUCGUGGACAGUGAUUCGAUUCGUGACGAAGAAAGAGAAUUCUUGGUUCUGUUUUCUGCCGAUGAUGGAAAUCAAGGAUUGAUCAAAUUCUAGUGCACAGCGUAGAUUUGUUAUAGAUUCGUUUGUUUGUUUUGAGUCUUGUUCGAGCCGGACAUGAUACAAGUUUAUCAUGUCCGACCGGUUUCACCGGGCAUCCUGUAUAUUGCUGAAUAGAACUCUCACUCUGCAUAAAUUGGGCAUACAGGCAUCCCAGCCCAGUUUAGUCUUGCUAUAGAAAUGGACAUUUUGUGUUGAGUUUUG
Molecule: long non-coding RNA, 1756 nt
Organism: Salvia splendens (bonfire salvia)
Lineage: Eukaryota; Viridiplantae; Streptophyta; Magnoliopsida; Lamiales; Lamiaceae
Exons: 3
Source: RefSeq, a predicted model, not a curated record